This 301-nucleotide ribosomal RNA is filed under the name uncultured bacterium. RNAcentral's name for it is "partial 16S ribosomal RNA". It matches the Rfam family "Bacterial small subunit ribosomal RNA", at positions 509 to 807 of the family's 1533-position model. The record is from RNAcentral.
CAGCAGCCGCGGUAAUACGAAGGGGGCUAGCGUUGUUCGGAAUUACUGGGCGUAAAGCGCACGUAGGCGGACAUUUAAGUCAGGGGUGAAAUCCCGGGGCUCAACCCCGGAACUGCCUUUGAUACUGGGUGUCUAGAGUAUGGAAGAGGUGAGUGGAAUUCCGAGUGUAGAGGUGAAAUUCGUAGAUAUUCGGAGGAACACCAGUGGCGAAGGCGGCUCACUGGUCCAUUACUGACGCUGAGGUGCGAAAGCGUGUGUAGCAAACAGGAUUAGAUACCCCUGUAGUCCCUGUCUCUUAUAC